GACGAACGCUGGCGGCGUGCCUAAUACAUGCAAGUAGAACGCACAGUUUAUACCGUUGCUUGCUACACCAUAGACUGUGAGUUGCGAACGGGUGAGUAACGCGUCGGUAACCUGCCUGGUAGCUUGGGAUAACUAUUGGUAACGAUAGCUAAUACCUCAUAAUAUUUAUUAUUGCAUGAUAAUUUAUUGAGAGAUGCUAUUGCAUCACUACCAGUUGGCCUUGCGUUGUAGUAGCUAGUAGGUGAGGUAACGGCUCACCUAGGCGAGGAUACAUUGCCGACCGGAGAGGCGGAUCGGCCGCAUGGGGACGGAGACGCGGCCCAGACUCCUGAGGGAGGCAGCAGUAGGGAAUCGGCGGCAAUGGACGAAAGUCUGACCGAGCAACGGCGCGUGAGUGAAGAAGGUUUUCGGAUCGUAAAGCUCUGUUGUAAGAUAAGAACGGGUGUGGGCGUGGAAAGUGCACAAUGUAAGGGUAUGGUUACAGAAAGGGCCGCCUACCACCGU
RNAcentral lists this ribosomal RNA (504 nucleotides) under uncultured bacterium. RNAcentral describes it as "partial 16S ribosomal RNA". It matches the Rfam family "Bacterial small subunit ribosomal RNA", at positions 28 to 506 of the family's 1533-position model. The record is from RNAcentral.